This is a long non-coding RNA of Myxocyprinus asiaticus (Chinese sucker), 734 nucleotides long. RefSeq lists it as uncharacterized. The record is from RefSeq and is a predicted model, not a curated record. The transcript is spliced from 6 exons. Lineage: Eukaryota; Metazoa; Chordata; Actinopteri; Cypriniformes; Catostomidae.
GCCAAUCAAAGAGCUGGGAGGUGUAACAUGAGGCGUGAUGUCAGGGUGACCAGUGCCAAGCAGGUGUGGACAAGAAGGUUGGAGCAGUGAGUGAGAGAGGCCAUGGCGGUCAAAGUGUCUGCCACAUCCUUCUCCCGUCUCUGUGCGUCCAAUAGAGACUGGCCCACUGUAGGAGCCAACCUCUGCAGAGACGCCCAGUGCUUACCUACACAUUUAAAGAGAGAGAGUUUGGAACUGAGGCUGCUGCUUUUGGACAUGGUUUCUGUUGAAGGACAGUCAGUGGUAGAGGAUCCAACUGCAAAAGACACAAAAAUAACACUCAUAACACAACUGAUCACAGAUUAUCUGCAAUUAUCAACACUUUACUGAAAUUAUCUUCCAGACAGAAGAUGAGAAUUCAAAUUACGCAAUGCAGCCACACAGGACUCGGAUGCGUCACAAAUGGCAGUGAGGUCGUGACCUCCCUCCAGUGCCAAAACCACACGGCCGCCAGCCAACUUCAUCAGCUGCUUAGUGAGAUGGCCGAAACCUACACAAAGAGCAAAAAUGCUGUGUAAUUCAUCAACUAUAAACAAACUGACGGCCUGAUUAUUUGACCCUGUAACCCAGUCUGCUGGUACAGAAAAUCACAGUAAAACAACUUACAUUUGGCGGUGACGUUGUAUCCACCCAGGGGAGACUGGUGGCCCUCCACAGCAUCAAAGCCCGCGGACACAAGCACCACAUCUGGGGAG